Molecule: ribosomal RNA, 330 nt
Filed under: Oscheius tipulae
Lineage: Eukaryota; Metazoa; Nematoda; Chromadorea; Rhabditida; Rhabditidae
Description: eukaryotic LSU rRNA
Rfam family: Eukaryotic large subunit ribosomal RNA
Source: RNAcentral
GAAAUUCCUGAAGUUGAAGCAGAACGAGUCGCAAUUGUCAAGCAGUGAAGUGGUUUGGUUAUWCCGUCCAUGUAGCUGUGGCACUGCGCUGGUUGCGCUGUMCGAGCUCUCCUGACUAGUCAGUGUUGCCCACCUUUGUGGUGGUGUCUUGCUUUCUGGAAUGGUUUGCCGUGUCAGUGUUUAGCUUGCCCUUUGCUCGAGAACCGGUGUUAAUGUCCUUCACCCUUCUGUCCCGUCUUGAAACACGGACCGAGGAGUGUAACUUGUGCGCGAGUCAGAGGGUGUUAAACCUUACGGCGAAAUGAAAGUAAAGGUCGAUUAAUCGGCUGA